This 77-nucleotide transfer RNA is filed under the name Planctomycetota bacterium. RNAcentral describes it as "Planctomycetes bacterium (sediment metagenome) tRNA-Arg". It matches the Rfam family "tRNA". From Rfam's summary of the family: Transfer RNA (tRNA) molecules are approximately 80 nucleotides in length. Their secondary structure includes four short double-helical elements and three loops (D, anti-codon, and T loops). Further hydrogen bonds mediate the characteristic L-shaped molecular structure. tRNAs have two regions of fundamental functional importance: the anti-codon, which is responsible for specific mRNA codon recognition, and the 3' end, to which the tRNAs corresponding amino acid is attached (by aminoacyl-tRNA synthetases). tRNAs cope with the degeneracy of the genetic code in two manners: having more than one tRNA (with a specific anti-codon) for a particular amino acid; and 'wobble' base-pairing, i.e. permitting non-standard base-pairing at the 3rd anti-codon position. Lineage: Bacteria; Pseudomonadati; Planctomycetota. The record is from RNAcentral.
GCCCCCGUAGCUCAAUUGGAUAGAGCAUCGGUUUUCUAAACCGGUGGUUGGUGGUUCGAUUCCACCCGGGGGUACGA